AGAGUUUGAUCCUGGCUCAGGAUGAACGCUAGCUACAGGCUUAACACAUGCAAGUCGAGGGGCAGCAUGGUCUUAGCUUGCUAAGACUGAUGGCGACCGGCGCACGGGUGAGUAACACGUAUCCAACCUGCCGUCUACUCUUGGACAGCCUUCUGAAAGGAAGAUUAAUACAAGAUGGCAUCAUGAGUCCGCAUGUUCACAUGAUUAAAGGUAUUCCGGUAGACGAUGGGGAUGCGUUCCAUUAGAUAGUAGGCGGGGUAACGGCCCACCUAGUCUUCGAUGGAUAGGGGUUCUGAGAGGAAGGUCCCCCACAUUGGAACUGAGACACGGUCCAAACUCCUACGGGAGGCAGCAGUGAGGAAUAUUGGUCAAUGGGCGAGAGCCUGAACCAGCCAAGUAGCGUGAAGGAUGACUGCCCUAUGGGUUGUAAACUUCUUUUAUAAAGGAAUAAAGUCGGGUAUGCAUACCCGUUUGCAUGUACUUUAUGAAUAAGGAUCGGCUAACUCCGUGCCAGCAGCCGCGGUAAUACGGAGGAUCCGAGCGUUAUCCGGAUUUAUUGGGUUUAAAGGGAGCGUAGAUGGAUGUUUAAGUCAGUUGUGAAAGUUUGCGGCUCAACCGUAAAAUUGCAGUUGAUACUGGAUAUCUUGAGUGCAGUUGAGGCAGGCGGAAUUCGUGGUGUAGCGGUGAAAUGCUUAGAUAUCACGAGGAACUCCGAUUGCGAAGGCAGCCUGCUAAGCUGCAACUGACAUUGAGGCUCGAAAGUGUGGGUAUCAAACAGGAUUAGAUACCCUGGUAGUCCACACGGUAAACGAUGAAUACUCGCUGUUUGCGAUAUACGGCAAGCGGCCAAGCGAAAGCGUUAAGUAUUCCACCUGGGGAGUACGCCGGCAACGGUGAAACUCAAAGGAAUUGACGGGGGCCCGCACAAGCGGAGGAACAUGUGGUUUAAUUCGAUGAUACGCGAGGAACCUUACCCGGGCUUAAAUUGCAGAUGAAUUACGGUGAAAGCCGUAAGCCGCAAGGCAUCUGUGAAGGUGCUGCAUGGUUGUCGUCAGCUCGUGCCGUGAGGUGUCGGCUUAAGUGCCAUAACGAGCGCAACCCUUGUUGUCAGUUACUAACAGGUUCUGCUGAGGACUCUGACAAGACUGCCAUCGUAAGAUGUGAGGAAGGUGGGGAUGACGUCAAAUCAGCACGGCCCUUACGUCCGGGGCUACACACGUGUUACAAUGGGGGCUACAGAGGGCCGCUACCACGCGAGUGGAUGCCAAUCCCCAAAACCUCUCUCAGUUCGGACUGGAGUCUGCAACCCGACUCCACGAAGCUGGAUUCGCUAGUAAUCGCGCAUCAGCCACGGCGCGGUGAAUACGUUCCCGGGCCUUGUACACACCGCCCGUCAAGCCAUGGGAGCCGGGGGUACCUGAAGUGCGUAACCGCGAGGAGCGCCCUAGAGUAAAACUGGUGACUGGGGCUAAGUCGUAACAAGGUA
RNAcentral lists this ribosomal RNA (1486 nucleotides) under metagenome. Its description in RNAcentral is "bacterial SSU rRNA". It matches the Rfam family "Bacterial small subunit ribosomal RNA". The record is from RNAcentral.